RNAcentral lists this ribosomal RNA (449 nucleotides) under uncultured bacterium. RNAcentral's name for it is "bacterial SSU rRNA". It matches the Rfam family "Bacterial small subunit ribosomal RNA", at positions 330 to 793 of the family's 1533-position model. The record is from RNAcentral.
ACCAGACUCCUACGGGAGGCAGCAGUGGGGAAUAUUGGACAAUGGGGGGAACCCUGAUCCAGCGACGCCGCGUGAGUGAAGAAGUAUUUCGGUAUGUAAAGCUCUAUCAGCAGGGAAGAAAGAAAUGACGGUACCUGACUAAGAAGCCCCGGCUAACUACGUGCCAGCAGCCGCGGUAAUACGUAGGGGGCAAGCGUUAUCCGGAUUUACUGGGUGUAAAGGGAGCGUAGACGGCGAUGCAAGUCUGAAGUGAAAGGCCGGGGCCCAACCCCCGGACUGCUUUGGAAACUGUAUGGCUGGAGUGCAGGAGAGGUAAGUGGAAUUCCUAGUGUAGCGGUGAAAUGCGUAGAUAUUAGGAGGAACACCAGUGGCGAAGGCGGCCUGCUGGACCGUAACUGGCGUUGAGGCUCGAAAGCGUGGGGAGCAAACAGGAUUAGAUACCCCUGUAA